This 534-nucleotide ribosomal RNA is filed under the name uncultured beta proteobacterium. RNAcentral's name for it is "bacterial SSU rRNA". It matches the Rfam family "Bacterial small subunit ribosomal RNA", at positions 340 to 865 of the family's 1533-position model. Lineage: Bacteria; Pseudomonadati; Pseudomonadota; Betaproteobacteria. The record is from RNAcentral.
UACGGGAGGCAGCAGUGGGGAAUUUUGGACAAUGGGGGCAACCCUGAUCCAGCCAUACCGCGUGAGUGAAGAAGGCCUUCGGGUUGUAAAGCUCUUUUGGCCGGGAAGAAAUAGCGUCGGCUAAUACCCUGUGUGGAUGACGGUACCCGAAGAAGAAGCACCGGCUAAAUACGUGCCAGCACCCGCGGUAAUACGUAGGGUGCGAGCGUUUAUCUGAAUUACUGGGCGUAAAGCGUGCGCAGGGGGCUCUAUAAGACAGAUGUGAAAUCCCCGGGCUUAACCCGGGAAAUGCGUUUUUGACUGUACAGCUCGAGUGCGGCAGAGGGGGGUGGAAUUCCCCGUGUAGCACUGAAAUGCGUAGAGAUGUGGAGGAACACCGAUGGCGAAGGCAGCCCCCCGGGUCGACACUGACGCUCAUGCACGAAAGCGUGGGGAGCAAACAGGAUUAGAUACCCCGGUAGUCCCCGCCCUAAACGAUGCGAACUAGGUGUUGGGGAAGGAGACUUCCUCAGUACCGUAGCUAACGCGUGAAGU